This 262-nucleotide unclassified non-coding RNA is filed under the name Hevea brasiliensis (rubber tree). The record is from RNAcentral. Lineage: Eukaryota; Viridiplantae; Streptophyta; Magnoliopsida; Malpighiales; Euphorbiaceae.
GAAUAGAUGAAUGAGGCAUCACCAUUUAUAUACAGGAUUCCUCUCUUCUAGUUAGGUGUUUACCUCUCAACACACAUGAACUGAUGCGAUUAAAAACCAUCACCAGUAGGGAAAAUCUAUCUUCUCUUAAAACUCAUAUAGCCAUCCACCAACUUAACAAAUAACACAAGCAUUUGGAUUUUCCUCCAUGCUUUGAACAUAGUAAUACGUGGUCAGCUGAGGAUUGUAAGCUUUGUAGGCCUUGACCAGCUCUAAAACUGGG